RNAcentral lists this ribosomal RNA (100 nucleotides) under Mucor racemosus. RNAcentral's name for it is "5.8S ribosomal RNA". It matches the Rfam family "5.8S ribosomal RNA", at positions 1 to 101 of the family's 154-position model. From Rfam's summary of the family: 5.8S ribosomal RNA (5.8S rRNA) is a component of the large subunit of the eukaryotic ribosome. It is transcribed by RNA polymerase I as part of the 45S precursor that also contains 18S and 28S rRNA. The record is from RNAcentral. Lineage: Eukaryota; Fungi; Mucoromycota; Mucoromycetes; Mucorales; Mucoraceae.
AACUUUUAACAACGGAUCUCUUGGUUCUCGCAUCGAUGAAGAACGUAGCAAAGUGCGAUAACUAGUGUGAAUUGCAUAUUCAGUGAAUCAUCGAGUCUUU